ACGGACUACCGGGGUAUCUAAUCCCAUUCGCUACCCGUGCUUUCGUCCCUGAGCGUCAGGAAUGUGCCAGUAUGCUGCCUUCGCACUCGGUGUUCCCCAUGAUAUCAACGGAUUUCACCCCUACACCAUGAGUUCCACAUACCUCUCACAUCCUCUAGUCUUACCGUUUCCUAUGCGUUUUCCCAGUUAAGCCGGGAGAUUUCACACAAGACUAAUAAGACCGCCUGCGGACCCUUUACGCCCAAUAAUUCCGGAUAACGCUCGGGGCACUCGUAUUACCGCGGCUGCUGGCACCA
Molecule: unclassified non-coding RNA, 296 nt
Filed under: uncultured fungus
Lineage: Eukaryota; Fungi
Description: sequence contains ITS1
Source: RNAcentral